Molecule: ribosomal RNA, 771 nt
Filed under: uncultured bacterium
Lineage: Bacteria
Description: bacterial SSU rRNA
Rfam family: Bacterial small subunit ribosomal RNA
Source: RNAcentral
UAGAGUUUGAUCAUGGCUCAGAUUGAACGCUGGCGGCAGGCCUAACACAUGCAAGUCGAGCGGUAGAGAGAAGCUUGCUUCUCUUGAGAGCGGCGGACGGGUGAGUAAUGCCUAGGAAUCUGCCUGGUAGUGGGGGAUAACGUUCGGAAACGGACGCUAAUACCGCAUACGUCCUACGGGAGAAAGCAGGGGACCUUCGGGCCUUGCGCUAUCAGAUGAGCCUAGGUCGGAUUAGCUAGUUGGUGAGGUAAUGGCUCACCAAGGCGACGAUCCGUAACUGGUCUGAGAGGAUGAUCAGUCACACUGGAACUGGGACACGGUCCAGACUCCUACGGGAGGCAGCAGUGGGGAAUAUUGGACAAUGGGCGAAAGCCUGAUCCAGCCAUGCCGCGUGUGUGAAGAAGGUCUUCGGAUUGUAAAGCACUUUAAGUUGGGAGGAAGGGCAUUAACCUAAUACGUUAGUGUUUUGACGUUACCGACAGAAUAAGCACCGGCUAACUCUGUGCCAGCAGCCGCGGUAAUACAGAGGGUGCAAGCGUUAAUCGGAAUUACUGGGCGUAAAGCGCGCGUAGGUGGUUUGUUAAGUUGGAUGUGAAAUCCCCGGGCUCAACCUGGGAACUGCAUUCAAAACUGACUGACUAGAGUAUGGUAGAGGGUGGUGGAAUUUCCUGUGUAGCGGUGAAAUGCGUAGAUAUAGGAAGGAACACCAGUGGCGAAGGCGACCACCUGGACUAAUACUGACACUGAGGUGCGAAAGCGUGGGGAGCAAAC